GCCCUCAUAGCUCAGUUGGCAGAGCACAGUCUUGGUAAGACUGGGGUCAUGGGUUCAAAUCUCAUUGAGGGCUC
Molecule: transfer RNA, 74 nt
Filed under: Chloroflexi bacterium ADurb.Bin344
Lineage: Bacteria; Bacillati; Chloroflexota
Description: tRNA-Thr
Rfam family: tRNA
About the family: Transfer RNA (tRNA) molecules are approximately 80 nucleotides in length. Their secondary structure includes four short double-helical elements and three loops (D, anti-codon, and T loops).
Source: RNAcentral